RNAcentral lists this ribosomal RNA (169 nucleotides) under uncultured bacterium. Its description in RNAcentral is "partial 16S ribosomal RNA". It matches the Rfam family "Bacterial small subunit ribosomal RNA", at positions 338 to 524 of the family's 1533-position model. The record is from RNAcentral.
CCUACGGGAGGCAGCAGUGGGGAAUAUUGCACAAUGGGCGAAAGCCUGAUGCAGCGACGCCGCGUGAGCGAUGAAGUAUUUCGGUAUGUAAAGCUCUAUCAGCAGGGAAGAUAAUGACGGUACCUGACUAAGAAGCCCCGGCUAACUACGUGCCAGCAGCCGCGGUAAU